Molecule: non-coding RNA, 54 nt
Organism: Solanum lycopersicum (tomato)
Lineage: Eukaryota; Viridiplantae; Streptophyta; Magnoliopsida; Solanales; Solanaceae
Source: Rfam
GUGAGAUGGAAUCAACGUUUGGACAUGUGAUUUCACGUUGAUUCCAUCUCAUGA